RNAcentral lists this ribosomal RNA (110 nucleotides) under Jaculus jaculus (lesser Egyptian jerboa). The record is from RNAcentral. Lineage: Eukaryota; Metazoa; Chordata; Mammalia; Rodentia; Dipodidae.
GUCUAUUACCAUACCACCCUGGACAAGCCCGAUCUCAUCUGAUCUCGGAACUUAAGCAGGGUGCCAGCAUGGUUAGUAACUGAAGGGGAGAAAAGUAAUUUCUUUAGAGC